Molecule: long non-coding RNA, 932 nt
Organism: Acanthopagrus latus (yellowfin seabream)
Lineage: Eukaryota; Metazoa; Chordata; Actinopteri; Spariformes; Sparidae
Exons: 4
Source: RefSeq, a predicted model, not a curated record
CGACUGAGCCAGAGGCUGCUGCUACGGACAGCAGGAAUCCUUUGUCUUGGAGAAUAUCAGCGUUUAGUCUCUUCAUGUUGCCGCUGACAGCUGAUGAAUACUUGUCAGAGGGAGAUACUAUCAAUCUGUCACUGAUUUCUGAGGUGAAAUCGGCUGAAACGAAAACAAAAGUAUCGGUAACUCCAGCAAUAUAAAAAGAGGCAGUGCUUCCCAUCCUGCCCACCAGAUUUUAUCUCAUCCGAAUGGAGCUUCCUAGCUCGCUAGUUACACACAGAUAAAUGUGCAGCCCAACCAAUUUAGGAGAGCUGUAAUAACCUGUUGACGAAGAGCAACCGUCAGGUGGAAGAAUUAAAGCAGCCAUCUAAAAAAAGUAGCUGCUCCGAAUCAGUUGUGCAGCCCUGCAGGCGUGCAAAGGCAGAGGAAGAACCUGGAGUUAGGAAGCCAUUGAUGUGUAACAGUGUGCAUCUACAGGUUAUGUUUAUAUGCAUGUGCUCUCUUUGAACGACUGUCUGGAGGACAGUACAACUCUUUUAUCAGGCAGUGACGAAAUAAUUGCAGCUUCAGACAUUUCUGGGUAAAUGAAAGUACAGGAUUAUUAAAAAAGAAGAUUUUAAUUAAAGAAGAGACAUGAACUCAUCCACUCCUCUAAUCAAUCUGUGGAAAGCCCAGUUAGAGACCACCUGUCUCUCCGUGGAAAGAUGCCAGAGGCUGAGAGCACCACUCACAGCCCCCUCACCACUUAUGAAGUGUGGCCUGGAACGCCAAGCUCAGUGUGAAAGUUCUCCUAACCCUUGCGGCGGGAUAGAGCAAAAGACGGAAUUCAUUUCAUGCGAUUUUACUUAUUCAUUCCACCGCCACCUUCCUCCUUCCCCGCGCUCCGAGUCAGAAGUCAUCACAGAGAACCUGAGUCCCAUUUUACAGUGAUCUGCUAU